GACGAACGCUGGCGGCGUGCUUAACACAUGCAAGUCGAACGAUGAAGCUGGGGCUUGCUCUGGUGGAUUAGUGGCGAACGGGUGAGUAACACGUGAGUAACCUGCCCUUGACUCUGGGAUAAGCGUUGGAAACGACGUCUAAUACCGGAUACGAGCUUCAGCCGCAUGGCUAGGAGUUGGAAAGAAUUUUGGUCAAGGAUGGACUCGCGGCCUAUCAGGUAGUUGGUGAGGUAACGGCUCACCAAGGCGAAGAUGUCUAGCGGGUGUGAGAGCACGACCCGCGCCACUGGCACUGAGACACUGGCCAGACACCUACGGGUGGCUGCAGUCGAGGAUCUUCGGCAAUGGACGCAAGUCUGACCGAGCGAUGCCGCGUGGAUGAUGAAGGCCUUCGGGUUGUAAAAUCCUGUCGAGGGGGAGAAAAGCCGAAAGGUUUGAUCUAUCCCUGGAGGAAGGACGGGCUAAGUUCGUGCCAGCAGCCGCGGUAAGACGAACCGUCCGAACGUUGUUCGGAAUCACUGGGCUUAAAGGGCGCGUAGGCGGGCCACCAAGUCCGGGGUGAAAUCCUCCAGCUCAACUGGAGAACUGCCUCGGAUACUGGAGGUCUCGAGGAUGAUAGGGGCAUGCGGAACUGUAGGUGGAGCGGUGAAAUGCGUUGAUAUCUACAGGAACUCCGGUGGCGAAGGCGGCAUGCUGGAUCAUUUCUGACGCUGAGGCGCGAAAGCUAGGGGAGCGAACGGGAUUAGAUACCCCGGUAGUCCUAGCCCUAAACGAUGGGUACUAGGUAGUAGGCUUUACAUGGGCUUACUUCCGAAGCAAAAGUGUUAAGUACCCCGCCUGGGGAGUAUGGUCGCAAGGCUGAAACUCAAAGGAAUUGACGGGGGCUCACACAAGCGGCGGAGUAUGUGGUUUAAUUCGAUGCAACGCGAAGAACCUUACCAGGACUUGACAUGUCGCGAAUCUUCUUGAAAGAGAGGAGUGCCUUCGGGAGCGCGAACACAGGUGGUGCAUGGCUGUCGUCAGCUCGUGUCGUGAGAUGUUGGGUUAAGUCCCGCAACGAGCGCAACCCUCGUGUUUAGUUGCCAUCAUUAAGUUGGGCACUCUAAACAGACUGCCGGUGACAAACCGGAGGAAGGUGGGGAUGACGUCAAGUCAGCAUGCCCCUUACGUCCUGGGCUACACACGUACUACAAUGGUAGGGACAGAGGGCAGCCAACCCGCGAGGGCGAGCUAAUCCCGUAAACCCUGCCUCAGUUCAGAUUGCAGGCUGCAACUCGCCUGCAUGAAGGCGGAAUCGCUAGUAAUCGCAGGUCAGCAUACUGCGGUGAAUCCGUUCCCGGGCCUUGUACACACCGCCCGUCACACCAUGGAAGUUGGCCACGCCCGAAGUCAUUACUCUAACCUUUCGAGGGGGAGGAUGCCGAAGGCAGGACUGAUGACUGGGGUG
This 1447-nucleotide ribosomal RNA is filed under the name uncultured bacterium. RNAcentral's name for it is "partial 16S ribosomal RNA". It matches the Rfam family "Bacterial small subunit ribosomal RNA". The record is from RNAcentral.